UAGGGAAUCUUCGGCAAUGGGGGGAACCCUGACCGAGCAACGCCGCGUGAGUGAAGAAGGUUUUCGGAUCGUAAAGCUCUGUUGUUAAGGAAGAACGAGUGUGAGAAUGGAAAGUUCAUACUGUGACGGUACUUAACCAGAAAGGGACGGCUAACUACGUGCCAGCAGCCGCGGUAAUACGUAGGUCCCGAGCGUUGUCCGGAUUUAUUGGGCGUAAAGCGAGCGCAGGCGGUUAGAUAAGUCUGAAGUUAAAGGCAGUGGCUCAACCAUUGUAGGCUUUGGAAACUGUUUAACUUGAGUGCAGAAGGGGAGAGUGGAAUUCCAUGUGUAGCGGUGAAAUGCGUAGAUAUAUGGGGGAACACCGGUGGCGAAAGCGGCUCUCUGGUCUGUAACUGACGCGGAGGCUCGAAAGCGUGGGGAGCGAACAGG
Molecule: ribosomal RNA, 429 nt
Filed under: Bacteroidota bacterium
Lineage: Bacteria; Pseudomonadati; Bacteroidota
Description: Bacteroidetes bacterium partial 16S ribosomal RNA
Rfam family: Bacterial small subunit ribosomal RNA
Source: RNAcentral